Rhododendron vialii is the source of this 545-nucleotide long non-coding RNA. RefSeq lists it as uncharacterized. The record is from RefSeq and is a predicted model, not a curated record. NCBI's taxonomy places the organism in Eukaryota, Viridiplantae, Streptophyta, Magnoliopsida, Ericales, Ericaceae. The transcript has 3 exons.
AAAGCCUGUGGAGUUUCUAAAUACAGCAAGAGACACACUGGGUUAAAGUUGUGUGCAAAGUCACCGAUUGGAACCAAAGGUUCUACUAUGUGUCGUGCUCAAAAUGUAUAAAGGCAACAACAGCUCAAAGUGAUGCUCCUUUCUGGUGCAACUAUUGCAAAGAAAAAGUCCAUCCAAUGCCAAGAUGCAGGUUCCAAAUACAAUUGAGCGAUUCCAUAGGAUUCAUCAUUGCUACAACAUUUGGAGAAUAAGCUGACUCAAUGUUCUCAAUCACUAGAGAUUACUUAAAGAACAACAUGCAAGAGGGCAUUCUAUCAACCGCAGCUAGGGAAAAAUUGGCAACAAGAAUAGAAUACGCUGUCCAUUUGCGAGCUUACAAAUAUGCACCAAGAGAUGUUGAACUCUGCCUCUUCAGCAUCCACACGUUUGCUGCUGUAACUGAAAUCAUAGACGACCAAGAUGACUUCUAGCUUCUCCUAGCACAAGCACCAUCCCCAAAAAAACGUCUGGAUGAAAUCAAAGGUCAAACCUUUGCACCAAUACCA